GACGAACGCUGGCGGCGUGCUUAACACAUGCAAGUCGAACGCUGAAGCUUGGUGCUUGCACUGGGUGGAUGAGUGGCGAACGGGUGAGUAAUACGUGAGUAACCUGCCCUUGACUCUGGGAUAAGCCUGGGAAACUGGGUCCAAUACUGGAUACGACAUGUCACCGCAUGGUGGUGUGUGGAAAGGGUUUUACUGGUUUUGGAUGGGCUCACGGCCUAUCAGCUUGUUGGUGGGGUAAUGGCUUACCAAGGCGACGACGGGUAGCCGGCCUGAGAGGGUGACCGGCCACACUGGGACUGAGACACGGCCCAGACUCCUACGGGAGGCAGCAGUGGGGAAUAUUGCACAAUGGGCGGAAGCCUGAUGCAGCGACGCCGCGUGAGGGAUGACGGCCUUCGGGUUGUAAACCUCUUUCAGCACGGAAGAAGCGAAAGUGACGGUACGUGCAGAAGAAGCGCCGGCUAACUACGUG
RNAcentral lists this ribosomal RNA (472 nucleotides) under uncultured bacterium. Its description in RNAcentral is "partial 16S ribosomal RNA". It matches the Rfam family "Bacterial small subunit ribosomal RNA", at positions 28 to 507 of the family's 1533-position model. The record is from RNAcentral.